AUUGAACGCUGGCGGCAGGCUUAACACAUGCAAGUCGAGCGAGCGGCGGACGGGUGUGUUAUGUCUGGGACACUGUCUGAGAGAGGGGGAUCUCCUCUGGAAACGGUAGCUUAUACCGCAUACCCUCAUGUGCGCCCAUAUGGGUAUAGCUUGUAGGUGGGGUAAUGGCUCAUUUAGGCGACGAUCCCUAGCUGGUCUGAGAGGAUGACCAGCCACACUGUAACUGAGACACGGUCCAGACUCCUAGGGGAGGCAGCAGUGGGGAAUAUUGCACAAUGGGCGCAAGCCUGAUGCAGCCAUGCCGCGUGUGUGAAGAAGGCCUUCGGGUUGUAAAGCACUUUCAGCGAGGAGGCGUUACUCGCAGAAGAAGCAACGGCUAACGCCGUGCCAGCAGCCGCGGUAAGAC
Molecule: ribosomal RNA, 406 nt
Filed under: uncultured bacterium
Lineage: Bacteria
Description: partial 16S ribosomal RNA
Rfam family: Bacterial small subunit ribosomal RNA
Source: RNAcentral